This 327-nucleotide ribosomal RNA is filed under the name Clostridioides difficile. RNAcentral's name for it is "bacterial LSU rRNA". It matches the Rfam family "Bacterial large subunit ribosomal RNA", at positions 864 to 1191 of the family's 2925-position model. Lineage: Bacteria; Bacillati; Bacillota; Clostridia; Peptostreptococcales; Peptostreptococcaceae. The record is from RNAcentral.
AUAGCUUUAGGGCUAGCCUCAAGGUGAGAGAUACGGAGGUAGAGCACUGAAUGUCCUAGGGGGUAUUGCACCUACCGAAGACUAUCAAACUCCGAAUGCCGUCAUCUUAUACUUGGGAGUCAGACUGUGGGUGAUAAGAUUCAUAGUCGAAAGGGCAACAGCCCAGAUCGUCAGCUAAGGUCCCUAAAUGUAAGUUAAGUGGUAAAGGAUGUGGGAUUGCACAGACAACCAGGAUGUUGGCUUAGAAGCAGCCACUCAUUCAAAGAGUGCGUAAUAGCUCACUGGUCGAGUGAUCCUGCGCCGAAGAUUUCCGGGGCUAAAACUUAC